This 228-nucleotide ribosomal RNA is filed under the name uncultured bacterium. Its description in RNAcentral is "partial 16S ribosomal RNA". It matches the Rfam family "Bacterial small subunit ribosomal RNA", at positions 122 to 334 of the family's 1533-position model. The record is from RNAcentral.
UAAUCUUCCCUCGGGCGGGGGAUAACACUCCGAAAGGAGUGCUAAUACCGCAUAAGACCACGAGACCGAAAGGUCUUGGGGUCAAAGCUGGCCUCUAUUCAUAAGCUAGCACCUGAGGACGAGUCCGCGGCCCAUCAGCUAGUUGGUAGGGUAACGGCCUACCAAGGCAAAGACGGGUAGCUGGUCUGAGAGGAUGAUCAGCCACACUGGAACUGAGACACGGUCCAG